AAAAAAAUGGCGUGGGUGUUAGCUGUGAUCAAGUAGGCAGCUCGCCCAAGGCGAGGCCUUUGCAUUGCACUCAGCUUUGGCUGACCCUUGCGAUUUCCACUAAUGUUGGAAACUCGGGCGCACAAUUUCUUUGUGUUGGGAUCUGCGUUCGCGCUAGUCCCUA
This 163-nucleotide small nuclear RNA is filed under the name Hofstenia miamia. RNAcentral's name for it is "U1 spliceosomal RNA". It matches the Rfam family "U1 spliceosomal RNA". From Rfam's summary of the family: U1 is a small nuclear RNA (snRNA) component of the spliceosome (involved in pre-mRNA splicing). Its 5' end forms complementary base pairs with the 5' splice junction, thus defining the 5' donor site of an intron. The record is from RNAcentral. Lineage: Eukaryota; Metazoa; Xenacoelomorpha; Acoela; Hofsteniidae.